Astatotilapia calliptera (eastern happy) is the source of this 6709-nucleotide long non-coding RNA. The record is from Ensembl. Lineage: Eukaryota; Metazoa; Chordata; Actinopteri; Cichliformes; Cichlidae.
UUUAGGACCAGGACGCGGCAGCUCUGGUGCAGGUGAGUAUUUAUUAACGAAGGGAAAAACAAACAACAAAGGCACUGGGAACAUGAAACUGGAACCUAAACUGGGUAAAACUAACAAAGGCAAAACAAAACAGGAGCACUAGAAGGCCAAAAGACAAAAAUAAAAACAAAACACGAGUCCAAACCAAAAGAAAAGAAGCACACCAGAGCACAGGAAAACAGAGUCCAAAACAGAAAAGGUCAGGGGGCCGGCCAGCACAGGAGUCCAAACAGUUCAGGGGGCCGACCGUGCAGAAGGCAACGGCGACGACGACAGCACUGGUCCGGGGGCCGGCCGUGCGGAAGGCAACGGCGACAGCACUGGUCCGGGAGCCGGCCGUGUGGAAGGCAACGGCGGCCACUCAGGCGAAGAGGGUCUGGGAGCUGGCCGUGCGGACGGCAACGGCGGCCACUCAGGCGAGGAGGGUCUGGGGGCCGGCCGUGCGGAAGGCAAUGGCGGCCACUCAGGCGAUGGCGGUCCGGGGGCCGGCCGUGCGGAAGGCCACGGUGGCCACUCAGGCGAAGAGGGUCUGGGGACCGCCCACGACGGCGAUGGCGCCUGGCCAGUUGCCUGGCCAGCGGCCUAGAAAGCGGCCGUUUAGCUGCAGACCCAAACGAGGCAGGGCCAGGCGACACUGAAGGCGGAGACACGGAGGCUGGACCAGGCGACGCUGAAAACACGGAGGCUGGACCAGGCGACGCUGAAGACACGGAGGCUGGGCCAGGCGAGGAUGACGAGGCUGCAGCUGGACCAGGCGAGGAUGACGAGGCUGCAGCUGGACCAGACGGCGCUGCAGGCGGCAGCGUGGAAGCCGGAGACGGAGGCGCUGCAGGCGGCGGCGUGGAAGCCGGAGCCGGCCGUGCGGAGGGCCACGGCGGCCACUCAGGCAAAGAGGGUCUGGGAACUGCCCACGACGGCGAUGGCGCCUGGCCAGUUGCCUGGCCAGCGGCCUAGAAAGCGGCCGUUUAGCUGCAGACCCAAACGAGGCAGGGCCAGGCGACACUGAAGGCGGAGACACGGAGGCUGGACCAGGCGACGCUGAAAACAUGGAGGCUGGACCAGGCGACGCUGAAGACACGGAGGCUGGGCCAGGCGAGGAUGACGAGCUGCAGGCGGCGGCGCUGCAGGCGGUGGCGUGGAAGCCAGAGCCGGAGGCGCUGCAGGCGGCGGCGUGGAAGCCAGAGGCGCUGCAGACCCUCCAGUGGAGACAGGAGACAAAGGCCGGAGCGGUCCCUCGGACCCUCCAGCGGAGACAGGAGACGAAGGCCGGAGCGGUCCCUCGGACCCUCCUGUGGAGACAGGAGACGAAGUCAUCACUAAGCCAGCAGUCAUGGAGGCCACUAGCUGACACAAAGGCGACUGUCAAUGCACUGACCACGGGCUCUGCCCAGGCAAUGCUGACAUGGUGCAGUUCUCAGGUGGCUGCUUAGACUUCAGGGGUCCAGAAUCAGCUGGGGACUGAGACCUAGCCUCUGGGGAAGCCCUGGAGUGCAGAACGGUGCCUGAAGCAGCUAAAGCGCGAGAAAUUCCCUGACUGGAACUUAGACUUUCUCCCUGCGUAGAGUGAGUGUGUGAGACCGGUGACACUGGAGCCAGAGCUGCGGGUAGCGGGGGCACUGGAGCUGCGGGUAGCGGGGGCACUGGAGCUGCGGGUAGCGGGGGCACUGGAGCUACGGGGGCCUGAGCUACAGGUGACACUGGAGGCGCAGGGGCCUGAACUACAGGUGACACUGGAGGCACUGAAAAGAGGGAGACACUGGUGGCCGAGCAGAGUGUGGCUGCGGGGCAGCUAGCUGAGAAGAGUGUGCGAUCGGCGUUUCCUCCCCGCAGACGGCUCCGACGGGCCGGGCAAGAUCACAUCCGGCGAGUUGGGCAGUGAGGCAGGAGUGGCUGAGAGAAGGUGCGGUGUGUGCUGGAGAAAAGCCUGCAUGGUCGGAGGAAGCGACUUCAGAAGCCAUGGCAGGCCAGAAAAGAGCCAUUGUAGCCGACUUUCCACGGUGCGGCGAAGCUCCUCUGGAGGGUUCUCUAGCCACAGCCCGAGGAGAAUCUCCACAUUAUAUGUAGUGUCGUCCCGGAGCUCCUCGGACGGAUUUACUGCCGCUGGGUCCAUGGUGGCUGGUUCGUACUGUCACGGUUUGCCAGGGCAAGCCGUGUGGAAUAUUUAGGACCAGGACGCGGCAGUUCUGGUGCAGGUGAGUAUUUAUUAAUGAAGGGAAAAACAAACAACAAAGGCACUGGGAACAUGAAACUGGAACCUGGCUCAAGAGUUGGCAGUUCAUCUUGUAAUCGGAAGGUUGCUGGUUCGAGCCCUGGCGCAGACAGUCUCGGUCGCCUACUGGUCGCCAACUGGUUGCCUACUGCACACCUCAGAGUGCCCGGUGGCGCCAGUGUCCGGCAGCCUUGUCUCUGUCAGUGCGCCAUGCUGCCAGGCAUUGUUAUUCAAUUGAUCACAGUGGCAAUGUAGCAUGCCAUCACCAAUGUGUGUGUGAAUGACUGAAUGAUUCACACACAGAGUUGGGGAGUAACGAUUACUUUUUUCAAGUAACAAGUAAAGUAAGGGAUUACUAUUGCAAAAACGGUAAUUAGAUUACCGUUACUUUCCCGUAGGAACGCUGCGUUACUAAAAACGUGAUUAUUUUGCGAGAAUGUCUCAUGACAGUGACGUAAGCAAGUGUGACGUUCGUGACAACAGCUGUGUGCAGAGCAACAAUGGAUAAUAUAUCAGUGCGGGCGAGAGUAUGAGCGUGCAGCGUUUAAAGCGUGGAAGUACUGAUCUUACUUUGAGUUUGAUUCCAUAAAAAGUGACAAAAACAUUAGUGUCCGUUGUGCGUGGGAAGAAAACUUCUUUUUACAGCAAAAAACCCCCCUAAACUUCCGAACAAGCACCGAGUAGCUACCACGUAAUGGGAAAUUCACAGAGAAACUCGCGGAUUCUUCCUCUGACUUCUGCGGCACACCUGCACCAGGGUAACCUCCGCCUACCCCACUCCUGCUUUACAGGUGAAAAUAGAGCAAAAGGACAGCUAGUCUUUGACUUUAUUUAUUUUCUGCUGUGUUUUACUUGCAUCUAUUUGAAAGAGUGAGUGUAAACACACAAAAAAAAAUGUGCUGGAAUGUGCAGAAAAUAGGUUUAAAUAUUAAACAAAUUUCUUCCAGUCAGAGAAUGUUGCAUAUAAUUACAUUUAUGCUUGAUGCAUGAAGUUAAAAGAUUAAAACUAAUAAAACAAGUUUUAAAAAGAGACUUUUCCAUUUGAUUACAUUUUGUAUGAUGAUUAUGCAGAAAAAGUAGAAUUGGGCUGAAAGAUCUAUCGCUUUAUCACCUAUUCAGGUUGUAAAUAGGGCUGCCACAAACGAUUAUUUUGAUAGUCGACUAGUCACCGAUUAUUUUUGCGAUUAGUCGACUAAUUAGAUCAUCAUCCAUUGGACGUACAGCGUACAGCUUAUUGCACCAGAAGCAUCUGGUCUUAUAUAACUAUCAUUAGCUUACAGCUUGAAGUGUUUGUGCUAACUAAAAAUAAAGACAAGAUGGUAGUUUAUUAAUUUUUAAUGAAAUUUGCAGAUUGUUUCGGUGAAGUUUAAUAAACUCCUUGCUUUCUAAAAUAUAACAGGACACCGGAGUAUAUUCUCCAGCGUCUCACACUUCUGACAAUCAGCUGUCUGCUUGACAGUUUUAGCUGUGCAAAAACUAUAACUUUAAUCUCAGCCAAACCGAUUUACUCAGGAACAAAUAAAAUACUAAAGAAAGCCAAACAAUAACAUUUUUAAGUUAUCUAAGUGACUUAUAUAUAUGUUUAACCUGACUAGCGAAAGACGGCGGUGGGUUUGAAAACGAUUUGCCGGGAGUCCGGUGUUCUCACGGCUCUAGUUAGCCUUGCCCCCGCCUAGCUAACGAGCUAGUAGGUAACAGACGUCUCCGAAAACGUCGGAGCGCUUUUGAAAAUACGUGGUGUCUUGAUAAACUGAGCAGAUAUUUGAGAUUUACACGGCUACAUUCUCGCCUGAAAAUAUGUUAAACGUUUAUUUUGUGACCCAGAAAGAAUAAUAAGAGUAAAGUUAAAACUAACUAGCUGCCACCAUUGUUGACAACUGCGCUGGGCUGCGCUAUGAAUUCUGGGACACAGCUUCUUCUUCUUCGGGGUUUAACGGCAGCUGGCAUCCUUGUACAUGCAGUGCUGCCAUCUUCUGUUUCAGUCCGUUAUUACACUCUUAAAUCCUACUACUCAUUCCUGCGUCCUUUGUGAUCUUACAAAGCUUCAAACGAUGCGUCGACUAUUAAAUCAGUCGUCGACGAUUUUAAUAGUCGACAUAAUCGUGACUAGUCGACUAAUCGUGGCAGCCCUAGUUGUAAAUGGUGUUUUUAAAAAGUAACUAAGUAAUCAAUUACUUUUGAAAAUAAGUAAUCAGUAAAGUAAAGGGAUUACUUUUUUGGGGAAGUAAUCAGUAAUUAGUUACUGAUUACUUUUUUCAAGUAAUUUGACCAACACUGUUCACACACACAUUCAAGAUGACUGAAUGCAGUGUAAAGCGCUAUACAAAUACAGGCCAUUUGCCAUAUUUAAUAUUAAGUACAAUUUUGAUUACAUUCAGUUUACAAUAUUAAGUAAAUGGAUUAAGUAAAUUGGAGAAUCACUUCUGGACUGUAGGCAAAGCAGUUUAGCACCCAGGGUCUUCUUUGUAGUAGGAGCUAUGGCUGCAAUAAGCACUGUCUUACUGAAAAAUGCAAGCCCUCCCCAAUUAUGCUUUAAUUGUGUAUAACAUAUGGGUUUAUGAAAUUUGCAAAUCUUGCAAAUCUUGUGGUUUCUCAAUUUGUUGAGGGGUUGUACAUUGUGUAAUGUGUUGAAACAAAAUUAUGCAACAACAGUUGCCCUUUGAGAUCUGGAUUCAAACCACACCAAAAAUCAAAGUUAAGUUUUUCCUAGUUUUUUGAGAAUCACUAAGCACUAAGUCUACCUAGAUAUGCAGUCUAUAGUCUACUUAGGGUGGUAGAGGAAGCUAUUGCUUUUCAGAAAUUUGGUGGCUCCAGGUAUUUUAGUUUGUUUUUUCUAUUGUGUCUUUACUGCGACAGUGCAGUGGAGAUAAGACCAGACAGCUGGGAGCUGAGAGAAAGAGCAGGGGGAGGCAAACGGCAAAUUGAAGUGAAUUUGAACCCCGGCCUCUGCAUUAGCCUGUCAGUUUGUAGGUCACUUACUCAAGAUGCUUACUAAACUCCCUCAGAUUUCUAUUAAGAAUUCUCUCUGUCUGUAAAGGAUUCUCGCAUUUGAGCUACCAGUGUUUAACCAGAAACAUCAUAAGAAAAUAUAACUCAUAAACCCAGAAAUUAAAUCUAUGGGGCAAAACCAUAUUUAUAAAAUUAGACCUGUGAUAUAUAGACAGUUACCCUAAUGACCACUGAAAUUUAAACUUAUUGAGAUAAUGCUUCUAAAUAACUGCCUAAGGAAGUGCCCCGAUGCGCUUCAAGAUGGCUGCCGAGUAGUGACAUUUGCCACCACCAUUAUUAAAACGUCUGUAUUUAUAUACAAUAAAUAACCACGUAGAAAAAGUAAAGCGGGUCUAAAGUCCGCUAGAUGGCGUAAUUACACAUCUUUAAAUACAAUACCAGGUGUAACGUGGGCUUCCCCAUAUAAUAAUAAUAAUAAUAAUAAUAAUAAUAAUACCAUUAAUAUUUUCACUGACUGAUGUCCUAUGUCACCUCACCCCACCGUGAGUUUGAUUGUUCGGUCUUGGACAGCAUCGCGUGGACUCAGCUGGAGUCUUACUUAAGUUUCAUUUCUCUUCUUUUGCGUCAGCAGCAAUAAUGCUGCUCCUUUUAACAGUAGCUUCCUGCAUUCUUUAUGAUGUUCCUGCACGGUUAGUCUGAUGAUGCAGGGGCUUCAGCCUCCCUCCCAUUUCUGUUUUUCUGCUAGCUGAAAACUGAUUAUUGACUUCUUUAAAAAAAUUAAAAAAAACAAGACUUCACCUGAAAAGCGUAUGAUGUUAUGAUAUACAUUGGUCGUGUCAUCACACAGAGCAUAAUUUACAUUAUUACUAUUAUAAUGGUUCCAGAGGAACAAGAAAAAAAAAAACACUUAUUAUAAUAAAACUUAUAAAGAAACUAGAGUUACUGAAGUGUGACAUUAACAGUCGGUUUCGCACUGUCCAAUGUUUUAUAAACAAUUUGAUAACCAUGAGAAAAUGCCGAAUACCGGCCAUUAAAAAAAAAAAAAAAUCCACAUUCACGUUUAGAAUCAUUUUGUAUACACAUAAUGAGACUUCUACUGCUACUACUACUACUAAUAAUAAUAAUACCACUAAUAAUGCUUACCGUUAAACCAAGGUCCUAUUUGUCAACUGAUCCCAAUGUGAGUCUGAUCGACAACAGCGGGACUUGGAUAGCAUACCCUGGACUCAUCUUGGCUGCAACCGUCGGUCUCAGUUAAGUUUCAUUUCUCGUCUCUUCCGUCAGCAACAGUUUGGAUAUAAUAAACACGACCUUAACCCCACCCACAUUUGUUCACAGACAAAUGCUUGGUCAUCGAAAAAAAUGUUGUUUCUAUUACCUGCAGCUUCCUGUAUUCUUUAUGUUGUUCCUGCAUUGUUAGUCGGGUUACUCCCCAUUCCUGUUUUUCUGCUUGCUGCAAACUGAUUAUGUACUUUUAAAAACAUUAUUAUUAAAGACCAAGUGCGUAGAUUU